RNAcentral lists this ribosomal RNA (376 nucleotides) under uncultured bacterium. Its description in RNAcentral is "bacterial SSU rRNA". It matches the Rfam family "Bacterial small subunit ribosomal RNA", at positions 523 to 898 of the family's 1533-position model. The record is from RNAcentral.
AUACGUAGGGGGCGAGCGUUGUCCGGAAUGACUGGGCGUAAAGGGUGCGUAGGCGGCUGAACAAGUCAGGUGUGAAAACCAUCGGCUCAACUGAUGGAUUGCACUUGAAACUGUGCAGCUUGAGUGAAGCAGAGGCAGGCGGAAUUCCCGGUGUAGCGGUGAAAUGCGUAGAGAUCGGGAGGAACACCAGUGGCGAAGGCGGCCUGCUGGGCUUUAACUGACGCUGAGGCACGAAAGCAUGGGUAGCAAACAGGAUUAGAUGCCCUGGUAGUCCAUGCCGUAAACGAUGAUUACUAGGUGUGGGUGGUCUGACCCCAUCCGUGCCGGAGUUAACACAAUAAGUAAUCCACCUGGGGAGUACGGCCGCAAGGUUGAA